AGGGCAGGCAGGCUCGUGGUGGGGGACAGGCAGUGUUUGUUGUCGGGCGGUCAGAUGGUUGAAGGUACAGGAGAGGGCAGGCAGGCUCGUGGUGGGGGACAGGCAGUGUUUGUUGUCGGGCGGUCAGAUGGUUGAAGGUACAGGAGAGGGCAGGCAGGCUCGUGGUGGGGGACAGGCAGUGUUCGUUGUCGGGCGGUCAGAUGGUUGAAGGUACAGGAGAGGGCAGGCAGGCUCGUAAUCCGAAAAACAGGCAAGGGUCAUAAUCCGGGGAAUGGAAGGACAGGUAGAAUGGAUGAUGCACACACAGAACGCUGGAAACGACUGAACAAGACAAGACGAUCUGGCUGAACAGAGAACAGAGUUUAAAUACACAGGGCUAAUAGGGAACCGGGAACACCUGGUGAGGGGCGGGGACAAGACAACAGGUGAAACGCAUCAGGGCGUGACAUAUUCACGCAAAAUAUAUCGGACAAUACAUAUGAAAACAGCUAAUUCAAGUCUAUCAUGUCUAGAACUUGACCGUAGACAACAUUUUCUAUGGUCCACUUUUCAGUGGGAAUUACCUUUUUGUUGCGUUGUUCCCUAGUUCAGAGAACCGGGGGUUAAACACACGAGCUCGAGAGGUGUUAACUCAACCCUACGGAAACAUCUUGACAUAGUCUCCUAGGACAACACGGAAUACACGUUACCUAUUCAGCCAUCCCUGCUCCAGCCGAAUGCCUACUGUGCGCUAGGUUGGAAGCUGUGACGUCAAGGCAAUUAGACCUCACAAAUGUUUUAGUGGGUGCCUACAGUAGCUCUCCACAGUGGGGAUGUCAGCCACGGUCAGCCUUUCAGACAUUACCCAGGACACUGCUACAUCUCUGGAGGAAGGGUGCACUCUGCCAGGCACACGGCAUGAAGACAGCCUCUGUAACUAAGUGAGCGUCCCUGUUUAGAUAGCAUCAUAGCUUGAGAUGAUUUGGCAAAGGAGACAAAGCUGGUGGCACAAACGAGACCUUUGGGUUCGGGCCGUGAAUGUGCGCAGGGACCACAAAGGCCCCGAGAUAU
Long non-coding RNA from Esox lucius (northern pike), 1050 nucleotides. The record is from Ensembl. NCBI's taxonomy places the organism in Eukaryota, Metazoa, Chordata, Actinopteri, Esociformes, Esocidae.